AGUGAACGCUGGCGGCAUGCCUAAUACAUGCAAGUCGAACGGCAGCACAGUAAGAUCUUGCUCUUACGGUUGGCGAGUGGCGGACGGGUGAGGAAUACAUCGGAAUCUACUUUUUCUGGGGGGAUAACGGAGGGACACUUACGCUAAUACCGCAUACUAUCUACGGCUGAAAUCAGGGGAUCUUCGGACCUUUCGCGUCUGAAUUAGCCGAUGCCGGAUUAGCUAGUUGGCGGGGUAAAGUCCCACCAAGGCGACGUUCCGUAGCUUGUCUGAGAGGAUGACGGGCAAAACGGAAACUGAGACACGGCCCAGACUCCAAGGGGAGGCAGCGGAGGGGAAUAUUGGACAAGGGGGGCAAGCCUGAGGCAGACAGACGGGGUGGGUGAAGAGGGCUUCCGAGUGGUAAAGCCCUUUUGUUGGGAAAGAAAAGCAGGAAGUUAAUACCCCGCUGUUCGGACGGUACCAAAAGAAUAAGCACGGGCUAACUUCGU
Molecule: ribosomal RNA, 491 nt
Filed under: uncultured bacterium
Lineage: Bacteria
Description: partial 16S ribosomal RNA
Rfam family: Bacterial small subunit ribosomal RNA
Source: RNAcentral